RNAcentral lists this ribosomal RNA (253 nucleotides) under uncultured bacterium. RNAcentral describes it as "partial 16S ribosomal RNA". It matches the Rfam family "Bacterial small subunit ribosomal RNA", at positions 524 to 776 of the family's 1533-position model. The record is from RNAcentral.
GACAGAGGGUGCAAACGUUGCUCGGAAUCACUGGGCGUAAAGGGCGUGUAGGCGGGAGAGAAAGUCGGGCGUGAAAUCCCUAGGCUCAACCUAGGAACUGCACUCGAAACUUCCCUUCUUGAGUGCCGGAGAGGAAAGCGGAAUACCUGGUGUAGAGGUGAAAUUCGUAGAUAUCAGGUGGAACACCAGUGGCGAAGGCGGCUUGCUGGACGGUAACUGACGCUGAGACGCGAAAGCGUGGGGAGCAAACAGG